UACGUAGGGGGCAAGCGUUGUCCGGAAUCAUUGGGCGUAAAGCGCGCGUAGGCGGCCCGGUAAGUCAGCUCUGAAAGUCCAGGGCUCAACCCUGGAAAGCGGGUGGAUACUGCCGGGCUAGAAUCCGGAAGAGGCGAGUGGAAUUCCUGGUGUAGCGGUGGAAUGCGUAGAGAUCCGGAAGAACACCGGUGGCGAAGGCGGCCUGCUGGGCAGUUGCUGACACUGAGGCGCGACAGCGUGGGGAGCAAACAGG
Molecule: ribosomal RNA, 253 nt
Filed under: uncultured bacterium
Lineage: Bacteria
Description: partial 16S ribosomal RNA
Rfam family: Bacterial small subunit ribosomal RNA
Source: RNAcentral